Molecule: small RNA, 5502 nt
Filed under: Caenorhabditis elegans
Lineage: Eukaryota; Metazoa; Nematoda; Chromadorea; Rhabditida; Rhabditidae
Description: Unclassified non-coding RNA Y48A6C.13
Source: RNAcentral
GGACGAUCAUCUCACUGCGGAUCAUCAUCUGGAACACAUGUGUUCAGAGUGCGAAGAGAGCUUUGGCUCUGCAGAAGAGGCCAAAGAGCAUACUCUUUUAGCUCACGAAAAUGCUCAAACAUUCGAUGAUCCAAAAAUUAGAAAUACUAGGUAUUGUUGUUAUCUCAGAGCUAAAAUAAAUAUAAUAUUUCAGAAUUGUAGAUUCCAUAAUUGCAGCAGUGAGAGUAUCCGGUGAUGUGAUUGAAGAAUUCAAUUCAGUGAUCAUGCGAGCGGUUAUUCGUCAUUGGGGAAACACGAGCACGGAAAAGCUGGUAAGGAGCAGAUGAUAAUUUUAUUUUAUCUGAGAAUGCGUUUUGCGCAAAAUAUCUUGUAUCGAAAACUACAGUAACUUUUUCAAAGACUACUGUAUCACUAGCGGCGACUUACGGAAAUCAUUCGAUAAAAAUUAAAAGAAAUCACAAAAAUGACAACAACUUGAAUUUCGCUGUCACAAUUUGAUCAGAAAAUUACAAAUAGCAAGCCAAUACAUCGACGCCAGUUCUACAGUAGGCAGUUCAGGUUUUUUAUACAGUUAAGUAUUAUAUUAAAAGUAAAAUAUUAAAACUGUCACCUUAAAUUUGAAUCCAGCCAAGCCCGCGAAAAACUCCGCUCGAUUUCGGAUGCCGAAAAUUGGCUCGAAUCGAGAGAUAUUCGGGAGAUGCUGGAAUCAAAUAAGACCUACUUUCUUUUAGAUUUCCGCCGAUCACCACAAAAAUGAAAAGAGUGGGUAAUAUAUCGCGGCCGACAACCCACGGGUUCCGCGCCUCGCUAUAAAUUAAGUAAAUUAAGCCACGCCCUUCAAAAGCACACCAACUGAUAGGGUGUGGCUUAAUUGACUUAAUUUAGAGCGAGGCGCGGAACCCGUGGGUUGUCGGCCGCCAUGUAUUACCCACUCUUUUCAUUUUUGUGGUGAUCGGCGGAAAUCUAAAAGAAAGUAGGUCUUAUUUGAUUCCAGCAUCUCCCGAAUAUCUCUCGAUUCGAGCCAAUUUUUGGCAUCCGAAAUCGAGAGGGAAUUUUUCACGGGCUUGGCUAAAUUCAAAUUUGAUGUGACAGUUUUAAAAUUUUGAUACUCUUUUUAACGAAAAAUUAUUCGAUUUCAGAUUGCUGUCGUUGAUUCUCCAAUGAUUACUCGUGACUUCUAUAUCGACUGUUUUGAAGCUUUAAAGAUGGUAGACUAUUCAUUUGUAUUUAAACAAUGAAAUAAAAUUCGAAAUUUGCAGAGAUACGAUUCUGGAGAGAAGUCCAUCGAUCUUCUCUGUCGUUUGGCAAAAUUGUGUACAAAAAUUGGAAAUUUUGUUGAGAAGGAAAAGAGAAAGGACAUCAUAAUCAAAGGAAAGAUGUACGCUACCGAAGCCUGGAACACCGAUUCGUACAACAUCUUGGCUGCUCAUUGGGCCGCUGUGAUGUCAGGAAAGGCAAUCGAAUAUCUUGAAGGCGAUGAAAAGAAUCUGGAGAUGAGACACUGCAGACAAUAUCUCGAUCGUGCCAUCUCUAUCCAGGCAGGAAAAAAUGCAAUGUACAAUAAUAUUCUUGGCCGUUGGGCUCUUUCAGCACUGGAGAUUUGGGAGUCUGACCGACAACAGUUAAUUCAUCAUUAUGCCACCCCAUAUGACGCUAUCGACGAUGCCAUUUAUCAGUUCAGAUCCGCUUUCGAUCUCAUACCGUAUUGGAUCGAUAAUAUUGUACACCUGGGCAAAGCGCUUCUUUACAAUGAAAACAAAGAAGCCGCCAUUGGAAUGUUUCAGCUCGCACUCAAAAUGGACCCGUCGAACGAUAUCGAGAAAGAGUUGCUCGCCGACGCCCUUGACUUGUGCUCAAUUUGAUCCUUCUUUUAUUUCCAUUUUAUUUUCUGUGUCUCAUUUUUCCGUUUGCACUUUCCUCCGUUUUUUUAUUGUAAAAAUUCCGUAAAAAUCGGCCCAAAAUUCCCAUUUUCAGGGGAUUCUUGGAGCCCAACUUCUUUUUUUAAAAAUUUGGAUUUUUAAAUUUUUCCCCGAUUUUCUAUAGGAAAUUCCAAAACAUUUACUGAAAAAUAGAAAAAAAAAUGGCCAGAUUUCUCGAAAAAAUUAAAAUUUUUGGAAUUUUUCUGAUUUUUAGCUAAUUUUUUGAAAAAACUGGCUCAAAAAUUUUUUUUUGGUAUUUUUUAAAGAAUUUUUAUUUUUAGAAAAUCCGUGAAAAUUGAGGGAAAUUGAGCCAGAAAUUUGGUAUUUUGGAGCCCAAAAUCUGUUAAUUUUUAUUUUUAAAUUUCCACGAAUUUUAAGCUAAUUUUCUGAAGAAGUUGGCUCAAAAUUUCGGUUUUUUGGAAUUUAUUUUUUUCCUGAAUUCCUAGAAUUUAUAGUGUAGUUGAUCCGGAAAUUCUAUUUUUCUCAAAUAAUUGAAAAUUUUUACUUUCAGAAAAUCCCUGAAAAUUGAGUGAAAUUGAGCUCAAAAUUCAUAUUCUUCUCAAAAAAUUGAUUUUUCUGUUGAAACUUCCUUGAGAAAAUUUCUAGAAGAAGCUGGCUCAAAAUUUCGAAUUUUUGGAAAGUUUUUGGAAUUUUCAUAAUCAAGUUUUUUUCGAAAAAAUUGAAAUUCCGCCGAGUUUAAGCUAAUUUUUAGAAUUUUUCUCAGUUAACGGUUCUUUUCUAGUGAAAAAUUCCAAAAUUUAGAAAUUUAAAAAUCCCUUUUCCCCUUAUAAAUUGCCCCAAACAUUUCCGCUUCAACCAAUUUUUCAACAUUUUUAUUCUAUAUUUAACGGCUAUACAAAAAAAUCGAUAAUUUCUCAGGUUUUCACCUCUAUUUCCUAUCUUGUUCACACGCCUCGGUCCCAAAAUUUAAUAGAUUUUCAGGCCAAAAAAACCAAUGGGGUUUUUACAAAUUCUUCAAGAAUGUCGAGCCGAAGGACUAUGGCCAAUUGGGCCAUCUUGUAAUAAGGUGCUGUGAAAAAUUUGGAAAAAAAUUAUUAUACAUUCGUCGAAAAAUUUCAUCUCAGUUUAAAGGCGCACACAUUUUUUGUACUUUGGGUCUCACCACGAUUUCGACUUUUUGAAGCUUAAAAUCACUAAAAAUUACGUGGAUCGUGGCAGGACAAAAAAGUGUUAUUAUACAUUCGCCAAAAAAUGCCAGCUGAUGAAAGGUGCAUGUUUUUUGCAAAAAUUGCAAAAAAUUACCAAUCGAAAAAAAAAACUCAUAUUUUUCCGAUGGGUCUCGCCACGAUCUGCGUCUUUUGGAUCCUAAAAGAACCCAAAAUUAUGUGAAUCGUGGCGGGACCCAGAAGUGUAUGCGCCUUUAAAAUAGGAGAGUAUAUUUUUGAGAAUGUGUAAUAAUUUAUUUUUUUGCUUUGAAGAAACUUUUUAUCAUUUUAUGAUAAUAAUAAUUUUAUUAUACAUACGUCGAAAAAAUGUCAUGGCAAUUACCUUUAGGUCUCGCCACGAUCUACGUCUUUUGGAUCCUAGAAGCGUCCAAAAUCACGCAAUUCGUGACGAGACCCAACAGUGUAUGCGUCUUUAAAAUAAGCUUGCAUAAUUGUGGGAAUGUAUAAUAAUUUAUUAUUGUAUUUUUUCAAUUAUUUAUUACAAAAAAAUGUAUCAAAAAAUUUUAUACAAAUCAACAAAAAAAACAAAAACAAUUUUUUUCGUGUACUCCACACGGACAACAAACUGUAGUUUUACAACUAAAACGCGCCGUAAAUCUACACAAAAUCUCUCCGACCCAAAAUGGCCUAAUUCGGCAAACUCUGCCAUUUCGAUUCAUGAGGGAAGCCAGAAUUCCGUGUUUUAACCGAAAAUUCCAGAGUCUAUCAAAAAAUUCCAAUUUCACCUUUCUACCGUAGUCCAGCGCGGGAAUUCAAAAUUCUCACGUUCCACCGGUCUCCCUUAUCAAUAUAUAUAUCAUCCUCACGGGGUUCUGGCUCGACCCCCCUCUCGAAAAUUUUGGAAAAUGGCGGGAAAAAAUAUUUGAUCUCGCAAGAGGAAUUUUCACGCAGCGCGUUGAAAAAGUGUAUGCAUUUGCGCGUGACGGUGUUUGCACAAAAUACACCGAGGGGUCGAGCCAGAACCCCGUGCAUCCUCCCAAUCACUUUCACUGGUUACUUUUUCAUUUUACCUUUUUUUUUACGAAUUUCCGUUCGCGAAACCAAAAAAAAAAUUCCAAAAAAAAGACCGGUGGCUAUAAUUACAGUACUGCUAUUUUCGCAUCGCCAAGGGGGUUAGAUCAGGGGUGCGCGGCAAUUGCCGUACGGCAAUCGAAUUGUCGGCAAUUUCGGCAAUUGCCGAAAUUGCCGAUUGCCGAAAAUUUUGAAAACCGGCAAUUGUCGAAAUUGCCGAUUGCCGGAAAUUUUCGAUUGCCGCGCACCCCUGGGUUAGAUGUUCUUCUCUCCUAUGUGUGUAUAUGUGCUAUCAGUCGAGUACUGAAAAUUGUGCAUGAUUUUUCAAAAAAAAAAAACCACCCAAGUCUUGACUCCUUUUUUUUCGCUGUUUUUUUCUGGAAAACUCAAAAUAUUUGUUCUCUAUUUUUCAAUAAUUUUGAAAAAUAAACCUUUAAAUUGGCUCUCGCCACGAUUUUAGCGGGUCUUUUUUUUCAAAUUUUCAAAUUAUAUAUUUUUUUAUUUAACAAUUCCAAUUUUUACCGAUUUUCAUUGAAAAUUGGCACGGGUUUCUAAUUUCCCCCCUGUUUUCAAAUGGAAGAGGUGGCCGUGAAAAAAGCGAACCUCGACCGGGGGUCGCGACCGGGAAAACUCAACGAAAUUUCGCAUUUUCGUUGCUUUUUUCGGUUUCAAAACACGUUUUCGUUUGAUUUUGUAUUAAAUAAAAUGCAAAAUCGAUUGAAAACGUGUUUUGAAACCGAAGAAAGCAACGAAAAUGCGAAAUUUCGUUAAGUUUUUCCGGUCGCGACCCCCGGUCGAGGUUCGCUUUUUUCACGGCCACCUCUUCCAUUUGAAAACAGGGGGAAAUUAGAAACCCGUGAAUUGGCGAAUUCUCAUUUAAAAAGUUUAAAAAUUGCUUGAGACUUACAGUAGUUUUAAAGGAGCAUGCACAAAUUCUUGCGAUGGGUCUUGCCACGAACUCUAUUCUUCGAAUUUUAAACUCAAAUUUAAAGAUUUUCUUCUCAUUUUUUGCCUAAUAUUCAUCAAAUCUAUUGAUUUUUCUUGCAGAGAAUGUGCCAGGAGGCUCGCCACGUCAGCUUCUAAAUAAUCAACACUAUUUGGAGCAUCAAGAGCCCCCGCGUCAAGCAAUUUUCAACGCAACUCUCCAAAUUCAACAGGAAAUCAAAAACAACGAAAACGGCGGCAUGAUGGCCCCCAGUACUGAGGUUAAUUCGGAGAAAUUUGAAUUAGAAGGCUAAUUUUUACGAUUUUUACCAUAAAAAUCCGUUAAAAACCAUAAUUUUUCCAGGAUCCCGAUACGGUUGUCGAGGCUCAACGUCGUGGAAGCUUCUCGAAGAAAAAGAACGCAAAUGGGUGGAAUAAGGUCGAACUUGUCGAUCAGUGUG